GCCGGGGCGUCGUCACUGGCCGGGGCGGGAGUCGGAGUCGCUACGGCUGGCGUCCAGGUGGAGCUUGAGCUUGCCGAAGGGGGAGCCUUCCUCACUGAGGGCGGAGUCUGCCCCGUCGGAGGAGGCGGCGGGCGCGAGGCUCGAGGCUCUAGGCGCGGGUGCGGGCCAGGCACCGGGAGCGGCCGACGAAGACCGUGAGGGCGUUCACGAGGAAGGAAUCUUCGUAUCCUGCUUUGAACGGAGGUGAAAGCCUGUUUACGUUCUAAUCACUAUAGCGUCGAUUUCAUAAAAUUUAGUAAAAGCCCC
Penaeus monodon (black tiger shrimp) is the source of this 306-nucleotide long non-coding RNA. RefSeq lists it as uncharacterized. The record is from RefSeq and is a predicted model, not a curated record. The transcript has 2 exons. Lineage: Eukaryota; Metazoa; Arthropoda; Malacostraca; Decapoda; Penaeidae.